This 213-nucleotide long non-coding RNA is filed under the name Elaeis guineensis (African oil palm). RNAcentral's name for it is "long non-coding RNA (EGUI_LNC049713)". Lineage: Eukaryota; Viridiplantae; Streptophyta; Magnoliopsida; Arecales; Arecaceae. The record is from RNAcentral.
AGAGAGAGAGGAGAUAAAGAUUCUCAAGUGAUCUAGGAUGCUAGAUUCACAUUACCAUUACAUUCCCAUCAAGUACGAUAGAGGAUAGUAAGAAGAAAAAAAGAGAGAAAAAAAGAUGGAUAGAGGUGUGACAGAAGGGUGCCAUGUACGAGAAUUGGAGAAGCUAGGGAAAGAGCAACUUGAGAAAGAGAUCAGAUGAGAGGGAGAGAGGGG